GUCGAACGCUGGCGGCGUGCUUAACACAUGCAAGUCGAACGGAAAGGCCCUGCUUUUGUGGGGUGCUCGAGUGGCGAACGGGUGAGUAACACGUGAGUAACGUGCCCUUGACUUUGGGAUAACUUCAGGAAACUGGGGCUAAUACCGGAUAGGAGCUCCUGCUGCAUGGUGGGGGUUGGAAAGUUUCGGCGGUUGGGGAUGGACUCGCGGCUUACCAGCUUGUUGGUGGGGUAGUGGCUUACCAAGGCUUUGACGGGUAGCCGGCCUGAGAGGGUGACCGGCCACAUUGGGACUGAGAUACGGCCCAGACUCCUACGGGAGGCAGAAGUGGGGAAUAUUGCACAAUGGGCGGAAGCCUGAUGCAGCAACGCCGCGUGCGGGAUGACGGCCUUCGGGUUGUAAACCGCUUUCGCCUGUGACGAAGCGUGAGUGACGGUAAUGGGUAAAGAAGCACCGGCUAACUACGUG
This 468-nucleotide ribosomal RNA is filed under the name uncultured bacterium. Its description in RNAcentral is "partial 16S ribosomal RNA". It matches the Rfam family "Bacterial small subunit ribosomal RNA", at positions 28 to 507 of the family's 1533-position model. The record is from RNAcentral.